GAAGAUGUCAAUGAUUUGGGAGAAAAGAUGAAAAUAUAAAGAAAAUGGGAAUAAUGAAAAGGAUGCGUGACAUCUGUGUAAAGAAUUCCUGAUCUGAGUUCCUGUGACUUUCUCAGUGGGAUGUCUGAAGUGAAAUCUCCUUUAUCCUUCAAAGGGAAUCUUCCAGACCCAGGUAUUGAACCUUCAUCUUUUUUGUCUCCCGCAUUGACAGAAAUAACACAAUCAACAGAAAACUGGAACUUUGAUAAGGUAAAUUAUAAAACCCAAGUCACAGAUCGCUAUUACUUGGCAGAGCUGGAUCAUGUAAUGUAAUUACCCCAUCGGCACUUCCGUGUCAUUCGAAG
Odocoileus virginianus texanus is the source of this 344-nucleotide non-coding RNA. NCBI's taxonomy places the organism in Eukaryota, Metazoa, Chordata, Mammalia, Artiodactyla, Cervidae. The record is from RefSeq and is a predicted model, not a curated record.